GGUAUUCGGAAUCUAAUGUAAAUAAAUUACUUGCUCUAGUCGGUUUGCUUAAUUCAGUUCGGUAAUGCCGAUGAGAAGAAGAGAACUAUUGCAGAAGGGGGCGAAACUAUGGAAAAAGAGCAUCACUAUGCAUAUAUGUCCUGGGUGUAUUUGGGAAUAUUGGUUACAAUAUUCAAUUAUUACUCCGCCACAGCGCGCAAAAUUGUUUACAGAAUCUCAAACCUAUCAAAAUCAGUUGUUUCGAAAUUGUUCCUUAACAAAUUUCAAGAAGAAGAGAUAAUUAGAUAUAUAGAACUAGCAACGGAGAAACUGCUUAUUUUCAUCUACCACACUGCCAGAUAUCUCUUAGACUUCAGUACCAACGUCUGUUUCGGAAUAGUAAUUAUUCUCUUAAUAGUAAAGCAUUCUUUGCGAGGCUACACCGCCCAGGAUUGGAAAUAUUAUUCCACGGCUUUGUUCUGAAAUGGGGAAGGUCCACAGAGAAAUUAAAACCUCAUUUAUAUGAGUCUACAUCAAAGCAGAUAUGGCAAAGUUGAAUAUAUUGCAGAUAUGAUCUCAGAUGUAAUUAGACGAACAUUAUCAGAUUGAAAGCCAGAAAAUAGUAGAUAGCAAGAUAAGGUUUUGUGGAAUCUGAUAUGGAAUUAAUUACAUCAAAAUAGAAUUAGAAUAUUUAAUAUUAAUAGGAAUUGUAUAUAGAAUACGAAAUAAAGACUGACUUUUGUAACUA
This 727-nucleotide unclassified non-coding RNA is filed under the name Sitophilus oryzae (rice weevil). RNAcentral describes it as "uncharacterized LOC115891501, transcript variant X3". The record is from RNAcentral. Lineage: Eukaryota; Metazoa; Arthropoda; Insecta; Coleoptera; Curculionidae.